Ciona savignyi (Pacific transparent sea squirt) is the source of this 119-nucleotide non-coding RNA. The record is from Rfam. NCBI's taxonomy places the organism in Eukaryota, Metazoa, Chordata, Ascidiacea, Phlebobranchia, Cionidae.
GUCAGGAUGGCCGAGUGGUCUAAGGCGCCAGACUCAAGAACCGAGGUUCUUCGCCGACAUGAGGUGUUGAGUAUUCUGGUCUCCGAAUGGAGGCGUGGGUUCGAAUCUCACUUCUGACA